GAAUAUUGCGCAAUGGGGGCAACCCUGACGCAGCGACGCCGCGUGGAUGAUGAAGGCCUUCGGGUCGUAAAAUCCUGUCAGAUGGAAAGAAAUGCCAUAGGGCUAAUAUCUCUAUGGUUUGACGGUACCAUCAAAGGAAGCCCCGGCUAACUCCGUGCCAGCAGCCGCGGUAAUACGGAGGGUGCAAGCGUUGUUCGGAAUUACUGGGCGUAAAGCGCGCGUAGGCGGCUUUUUAAGUCAGAUGUGAAAGUCCCCGGCUCAACCGGGGAAGUGCAUUUGAUACUGGAAGGCUUGAGUACUGGAGGGGAUGGUGGAAUUCCCGGUGUAGAGGUGAAAUUCGUAGAUAUCGGGAGGAAUACCGGUGGCGAAGGCGACCAUCUGGCCAGAUACUGACGCUGAGGUGCGAAAGCGUGGGGAGCAAACAGG
RNAcentral lists this ribosomal RNA (426 nucleotides) under uncultured bacterium. RNAcentral describes it as "bacterial SSU rRNA". It matches the Rfam family "Bacterial small subunit ribosomal RNA", at positions 359 to 776 of the family's 1533-position model. The record is from RNAcentral.